This 125-nucleotide small RNA is filed under the name Marmota monax (woodchuck). The record is from RNAcentral. Lineage: Eukaryota; Metazoa; Chordata; Mammalia; Rodentia; Sciuridae.
GCUGGGCACGGGGCGCAUGCCUGUAAUCCCAGCGCCUUGAGAAGCUGAGACAGGAGGAUAGUGAGUUCAAAGCCAGCCUCAGCAAAAAGAGAGGCACUAAGGAACACAGUGAGAUCCUGUCUCUA